This 492-nucleotide ribosomal RNA is filed under the name uncultured bacterium. RNAcentral describes it as "partial 16S ribosomal RNA". It matches the Rfam family "Bacterial small subunit ribosomal RNA", at positions 29 to 507 of the family's 1533-position model. The record is from RNAcentral.
AGUGAACGCUGGCGGUAGGCCUAACACAUGCAAGUCGAACGGCAGCACAGUAAGAGCUUGCUCUUACGGGUGGCGAGUGGCGGACGGGUGAGGAAUACAUCGGAAUCUACUUUUUCGUGGGGGAUAACGUAGGGAAACUUACGCUAAUACCGCAUACGACCUACGGGUGAAAGCAGGGGAUCUUCGGACCUUGCGCGAUUGAAUGAGCCGAUGUCGGAUUAGCUAGUUGGCGGGGUAAAGGCCCACCAAGGAGCCGAUCCGUAGCUGGUCUGAGAGGAUGAUCAGCCACACUGGAACUGAGACACGGUCCAGACUCCUACGGGAGGCAGCAGUGGGGAAUAUUGGACAAUGGGCGCAAGCCUGAUCCAGACAUACCGCGUGGGUGAAGAAGGCCUUCGGGUUGUAAAGCCCUUUUGUUGGGAAAGAAAAGCAGCAGGUUAAUACCCCGCUGUUCUGACGGUACCCAAAGAAUAAGCACCGGCUAACUUCGUG